GACGAACGCUGGCGGCGUGCUUAACACAUGCAAGUCGAGCGGUAAGGCCCCUUCGGGGGUACAUGAGCGGCGAACGGGCGGGUAACACGUGGGUGACUAGCCUUCAGCUCUGGGAUAAGUCUGGGAAAGUGGGUCUAAUACCGGAUAUGACCUUUCCUCGCCUGGGGGUUGGUGGAAAGAUUUUUCGGUUGGGGAUGGAUCCGCGGCCUAUCUGCCUGCUGGUUGGGUGGUGGGUUACCAACGCGGGGGAGGGUAGGCGGCCUGCCAGGGAGGCCGGCCAGCCACGCAGGGACUGAGACACGGCCCAGACACCUACGGGAGACAGCAGGGGGGAAUAUUGCGCAAUGGGCGGAAGCCUGACGCAGCGACGCCGCGUGGGGAAGGACGGCCUGCGGGUAGUAAACCUCGUUCGAGCCCGACGAAGUUUGACGGUAGUGGUAGAAGAAGCACCGGCCAACUACGUG
This 464-nucleotide ribosomal RNA is filed under the name uncultured bacterium. RNAcentral describes it as "partial 16S ribosomal RNA". It matches the Rfam family "Bacterial small subunit ribosomal RNA", at positions 28 to 507 of the family's 1533-position model. The record is from RNAcentral.